AACGCGAAGAACCUUACCAGCCCUUGACAUGGUCGGACGGUUACCAGAGAUGGUUUCCUUCACUUCGGUGACUGACACACAGGUGCUGCAUGGCUGUCGUCAGCUCGUGUCGUGAGAUGUUGGGUUAAGUCCCGCAACGAGCGCAACCCUCGCCCUUAGUUGCCAUCAUUCAGUUGGGCACUCUAAGGGGACUGCCGGUGGUAAGCCGGAGGAAGGUGGGGAUGACGUCAAGUCCUCAUGGCCCUUACGGGUAGGGCUACACACGUGCUACAAUGGCAGUGACAAUGGGAUAAUCCCAAAAAGCUGUCUCAGUUCAGAUUGUCCUCUGCAACUCGAGGGCAUGAAGGUGGAAUCGCUAGUAAUCGUGGAUCAGCAUGCCACGGUGAAUACGUUCCCGGGUCUGUACACACCG
This 412-nucleotide ribosomal RNA is filed under the name uncultured bacterium. RNAcentral describes it as "bacterial SSU rRNA". It matches the Rfam family "Bacterial small subunit ribosomal RNA", at positions 958 to 1392 of the family's 1533-position model. The record is from RNAcentral.